GACGAACGCUGGCGGCGUGCUUAACACAUGCAAGUCGAACGGAAAGGCCCUGCUUUUGUGGGGUGCUCGAGUGGCGAACGGGUGAGUAACACGUGAGUAACCUGCCCUUGACUUUGGGAUAACUUCAGGAAACUGGGGCUAAUACCGGAUAGGAGCUCCUGCUGCAUGGUGGGGGUUGGAAAGUUUCGGCGGUUGGGGAUGGACUCGCGGCUUAUCAGCUUGUUGGUGGGGUAGUGGCUUACCAAGGCUUUGACGGGUAGCCGGGCUGAGAGGGUGACCGGCCACAUUGGGACUGAGAUACGGCCCAGACUCCUACGGGAGGCAGCAGUGGGGAAUAUUGUACAAUGGGCGGAAGCCUGAUGCAGCAACGCCGCGUGCGGGAUAACGGCCUUCGGGUUGGAAACCGCUUUCGCCUGUGACGAAGCGUGAGUGACGGUAAUGGGUAAAGAAGCACCGGCUAACUACGUG
This 468-nucleotide ribosomal RNA is filed under the name uncultured bacterium. Its description in RNAcentral is "partial 16S ribosomal RNA". It matches the Rfam family "Bacterial small subunit ribosomal RNA", at positions 28 to 507 of the family's 1533-position model. The record is from RNAcentral.